GACGAACGCUGGCGGCGUGCCUAACACAUGCAAGUCGAACGCAGUGGAGAACGGGUGAGUAACGCGUAAUCAACCUGCCCUUCAGAGGGGGACAAAAGGUGGACACGACCGCUAAUACCGCAUACUGAAGGGGGGGAUUGCGUUUUAUUGGCUAGUUGGAGGGGUAAAGGCCCACCAAGGCGAGGAUCAGUAGCCGGCCUGGGAGGGUGAACGGCCACAUUGGGACUGAGACACGGCCCAGACUCCUACGGGAGGCAGCAGUUGGGAAUCUUCCGCAAUGGACGAAAGUCUGACGGAGCAACGCCGCGGGAGUGAUGACGGCCUUCGGGUUGUAAAGCUCUGUUAAUCGGGACGCGGUACCGAAACAGAAAGCCACGGCUAACUACGUGCCAGCAGCCGCGGUAAUAC
This 408-nucleotide ribosomal RNA is filed under the name uncultured bacterium. RNAcentral's name for it is "partial 16S ribosomal RNA". It matches the Rfam family "Bacterial small subunit ribosomal RNA", at positions 28 to 526 of the family's 1533-position model. The record is from RNAcentral.